This 253-nucleotide ribosomal RNA is filed under the name uncultured bacterium. RNAcentral's name for it is "partial 16S ribosomal RNA". It matches the Rfam family "Bacterial small subunit ribosomal RNA", at positions 524 to 776 of the family's 1533-position model. The record is from RNAcentral.
UACGUGGGGUGCAAGCGUUGUUCGGAAUUACUGGGCGUAAAGCGUGUGUAGGCGGCCCGCUAAGUCUGAUGUGAAAUCCCCGGGCUUAACUCGGGAACUGCAUCGGAAACUGGCGGGCUGGAGUCUGGGAGAGGGCGGUGGAAUUCCUGGUGUAGAGGUGAAAUUCGUAGAUAUCAGGAGGAAUACCAGUGGCGAAGGCGGCCCCCUGGCACAAUACUGACGCUGAGGUGCGAAAGCGUGGGGAGCAAACAGG